Molecule: ribosomal RNA, 587 nt
Filed under: Astralium tentoriiformis
Lineage: Eukaryota; Metazoa; Mollusca; Gastropoda; Trochida; Turbinidae
Description: partial 16S ribosomal RNA
Rfam family: Bacterial large subunit ribosomal RNA
Source: RNAcentral
CGUUCUUUGUAAAAUGUGUUUGUGGGUUGACCAUAAUAUUAAAUUAGCAUAAAGAAUCGGACCUGCCCAGUGACUUCUGUGUUAAACGGCCGCGGUACUCUGACCGUGCAAAGGUAGCAUAAUCAUUUGCCUUUUAAUUGGGGGCUUGUAUGAAUGGUUUGACGAAAACUAAGCUGUCUCUUUUUAAAUUUAAAAAAAUUAAUUUGUAGGUGAAGAAGCUUACAUUUAAUUGAGGGACAAGAAGACCCCGUUGAGCUUUAGUGAUCUAGUAAAAUAGCAAAUUUGGUAUUAUUGAUUACAUUAAAUUAGCAAUUACAUUAUUUAUGUAAAUGUUUUUUAUUAGAAAAUCUUUAGUUGGGGCGACUGAGGAACAAAGAAAGCUUCCUUUAUGUUUUAUAGUGGAAUUCAUUUUAAAUUCAUUAGAUCCAGUAUUUACUGAUCAAAGGAAAAAGUUACCACGGGGAUAACAGCGUAAUCUUUCUAGCGAGUUCUUAUCGAAGGAAGGGUUUGCGACCUCGAUGUUGGACUAAGAUAUCCUAGGGGUGUAGAAGCUCAUAAUGGUUAGUCUGUUCGACUAUUAAAAUCUU